AGUCCAAUAGGGAGGGCAUUGCAGGUGAUAUUUGAAAGCCCUGCAGUGGCUCCUAUUGGUCAUU
Molecule: microRNA precursor, 64 nt
Filed under: Strongylocentrotus purpuratus (purple sea urchin)
Lineage: Eukaryota; Metazoa; Echinodermata; Echinoidea; Camarodonta; Strongylocentrotidae
Description: Spu-Mir-2005_pre stem-loop
Rfam family: mir-2005 microRNA precursor family
Source: RNAcentral